AUUGAACGCUGGCGGCAUGCCUUACACAUGCAAGUCGAACGGCAGCACGGGCGCUUGCACCUGGUGGCGAGUGGCGAACGGGUGAGUAAUACAUCGGAACGUACCUUAUCGUGGGGGAUAACGCAGCGAAAGCUGUGCCAAUACCGCAUACGCCCUGAGGGGGAAAGCGGGGGAUCGAAAGACCUCGCGCGAUUAGAGCGGCCGAUGCCUGAUUAGCUUGUUGGUGGGGUAAAAGCCCACCAAGGCGACGAUCAGUAGCUGGUCUGAGAGGACGAUCGGCCACACUGGGACGGAGACACGGCCCAGACUCCUACGGGAGGCAGCAGUGGGGAAUUUUGGACAAUGGGGGAAACCCUGAUCCAGCAAUGCCGCGUGAGUGAAGAAGGCCUUCGGGUUGUAAAGCUCUUUUGUCAGGGAAGAAACACCGGCUCUAACACAGUCCGGGAAUGACGGUACCUGAAGAAUAAGCACCGGCUAACUACGUGCCAGCAGCCGCCGUAA
This 501-nucleotide ribosomal RNA is filed under the name uncultured bacterium. Its description in RNAcentral is "partial 16S ribosomal RNA". It matches the Rfam family "Bacterial small subunit ribosomal RNA", at positions 29 to 523 of the family's 1533-position model. The record is from RNAcentral.